UAGCCCAGCACCGAAUCCUUCACCAUCUCGGUGACAGGAAAUGUGGUGUUUAGGCCGUACCUUGUCCCGAUACGUCUCUCCUCAAGUCCACUUGAUUGUGGCCCCAGGCCCAGAGAGGGUGUAAGGCCCGUUGAGGCGAGACGUUCGGUACCUGGUGCGUCCUUAGAGUCGGGUUGUUUGGGAAUGCAGCCCUAAGCGGGUGGUAAACUCCAUCCAAGGCUAAAUACCAGCACGAGUCCGAUAGCGAAGAAGUACCGCGAGGGAAGGUUGAAAAGAACUUUGAAGAGAGAGUUCAAGAGUACGUGAAACCGCUGAGAGGCAAACUGGUGGAACUGAAAUGGUCCCGAGGAAUUCAGCCGUUGGUGGUUGUGCAGUCUUUGGUGCUUGAUUUAACGACAACGCCAUUGAAUGGUGCUUCCGCCAUCGGUGCACUUUCCUCGUAAUUGGGCCCGACCACGACCGGUGAGCUGACCUGUCUGUCGUGCUUGGAAGAUAGCGUCAUCUUCGGAAGGCGUGUUAUAGACUUGCACACGGAGCAGUCGGCGCACUGGAAAAUAGUGCCUGCCCUCUGGGCUCAUAUGGCGGUUGUUUUGUUGGCGAGUUCCGAUGUCACUACUUCGGUAGAGUCGUUGGACUCUGUCGGCAUUAUGGUCGUCCUCUAUGAUUGGCACUGGUAAGUCUGUGGUUGUGAAGUAGGUAGUCCACCUGACCCGUCUUGAAACACGGACCAAGGAGUCUAACAUGUGCGCGAGUCAUUGGGUUCACGAAACCUAAAGGCGCAGUGAAGGUAAAGAUCUGUUUUGGCAGAUUGAGGUGGGAUGCUGGGUUACGCGCCCAGCCGCACUACCGGCCCGUUCUAUAUGUAUCUCAUAGGAGCGGAGCAAGAGCGUACACGUUGGGACCCGAAAGAUGGUGAACUAUGCUUGCGCAGGUCGAAGCCAG
This 942-nucleotide ribosomal RNA is filed under the name Nymphozoon orsaki. Its description in RNAcentral is "partial large subunit ribosomal RNA". It matches the Rfam family "Eukaryotic large subunit ribosomal RNA", at positions 104 to 855 of the family's 3401-position model. Lineage: Eukaryota; Metazoa; Platyhelminthes; Polycladida; Pseudocerotidae. The record is from RNAcentral.